This 253-nucleotide ribosomal RNA is filed under the name uncultured bacterium. RNAcentral's name for it is "partial 16S ribosomal RNA". It matches the Rfam family "Bacterial small subunit ribosomal RNA", at positions 524 to 776 of the family's 1533-position model. The record is from RNAcentral.
UACGAAGGGUGCUAGCGUUGUUCGGAAUUACUGGGCGUAAAGCGCGCGUAGGCGGUGAUGCAAGUCAGAGGUGAAAUCCCAGGGCUUAACCCUGGAACUGCCUUUGAAACUGCAUUGCUGGAGUGUGUGAGGGGAUAGCGGAAUUCCUAAUGUAGAGGUGAAAUUCGCAGAUAUUAGGAGGAACACCGGUGGCGAAGGCGGCUAUCUGGCACACAACUGACGCUGAGGCGCGAAAGCGUGGGGAUCAAACAGG